Molecule: ribosomal RNA, 794 nt
Filed under: uncultured bacterium
Lineage: Bacteria
Description: bacterial SSU rRNA
Rfam family: Bacterial small subunit ribosomal RNA
Source: RNAcentral
CGACGAGCGAGAGAGAGCUUGCUUUCUCGAGCGAGUGGCGAACGGGUGAGUAACGCGUGAGGAACCUGCCUCAAAGAGGGGGACAACAGUUGGAAACGACUGCUAAUACUGCAUAAGCCCACGGGUCGGCAUCGACCAGAGGGAAAAGGAGCAAUCCGCUUUGAGAUGGCCUCGCGUCCGAUUAGCUAGUUGGUGAGGUAACGGCCCACCAAGGCAACGAUCGGUAGCCGGACUGAGAGGUUGAACGGCCACAUUGGGACUGAGACACGGCCCAGACUCCUACGGGAGGCAGCAGUGGGGAAUAUUGCACAAUGGGGGAAACCCUGAUGCAGCGACGCCGCGUGGAGGAAGAAGGUCUUCGGAUUGUAAACUCCUGUUGUUGGGGAAGAUAAUGACGGUACCCAACAAGGAAGUGACGGCUAACUACGUGCCAGCAGCCGCGGUAAAACGUAGGUCACAAGCGUUGUCCGGAAUUACUGGGUGUAAAGGGAGCGCAGGCGGGAAGACAAGUUGGAAGUGAAAUCUAUGGGCUCAACCCAUAAACUGUUUUCAAAACUGUUUUUCUUGAGUAGUGCAGAGGUAGGCGGAAUUCCCGGUGUAGCGGUGGAAUGCGUAGAUAUCGGGAGGAACACCAGUGGCGAAGGCGGCCUACUGGGCACCAACUGACGCUGAGGCUCGAAAGUGUGGGUAGCAAACAGGAUUAGAUACCCUGGUAGUCCACACCGUAAACGAUGAUUACUAGGUGUUGGAGGAUUGACCCCUUCAGUGCCGCAGUUAACACAAUAAGUAAUCCA